CAGUCGCCGCGGUAACACGUAGGGUGCGAGCGUUAAUCGGAAUUACUGGGCGUAAAGCGUGCGCAGGCGGUUUUGUAAGACAGGCGUGAAAUCCCCGGGCUCAACCUGGGAACGGCGCUUGUGACUGCAAGGCUAGAGUGCGGCAGAGGGGGAUGGAAUUCCGCGUGUAGCAGUGAAAUGCGUAGAUAUGCGGAGGAACACCGAUGGCGAAGGCAAUCCCCUGGGCCUGCACUGACGCUCAUGCACGAAAGCGUGGGGAGCAAACAGGAUUAGAUACCCGCGUAGUCCCUGUCUCUUAUAC
This 301-nucleotide ribosomal RNA is filed under the name uncultured bacterium. Its description in RNAcentral is "partial 16S ribosomal RNA". It matches the Rfam family "Bacterial small subunit ribosomal RNA", at positions 509 to 807 of the family's 1533-position model. The record is from RNAcentral.